Merluccius polli (Benguela hake) is the source of this 75-nucleotide non-coding RNA. The record is from the annotation of a GenBank genome assembly. NCBI's taxonomy places the organism in Eukaryota, Metazoa, Chordata, Actinopteri, Gadiformes, Merlucciidae.
GGUCGUGACUAGCUCAACUGGUAGAGCAUGGUAGUAACAUUGCCGGGGUUAGGGGUUCAAUUCCCACUGGGACCA